GACCGGACGGCUUAAACCCGUUUGACUCCGCCAACAUUGAGCCUGCACGCUGCAGUCAGGAUCUUCUCGCUCAUUCAAGUACUCUGCGAAUCACAAUCAUCAAGGACACAAAAGUCCCUAACGCCUGCCUCUUCACGUUGAACUAAGAGGAUCACACACUUGGCAACAUCAUCAGACAACAACUUCUGAAGGACCCCCAGGUGCUCUUUGCUGGCUAUAAGGUCCCUCAUCCUCUGGAGCACAAGAUUGUGAUCCGUGUUCAGACUACACCAGACUACAGUCCUCAGGAGGCUUUCACUAAUGCCAUCACUGACCUCAUCAGUGAGCUGUCCUUGUUGGAUGAGAUACCGUCAACACAUUUCAUAAUAUCUCUCAAUAUUGGAUUGACAUGGGUUUGUCUGUGUAUUUCGUGGAACAGUUCUAGUGUAGCAGACUGCCAAUAUUUAAUAACAUUAUAUUUAUCGUUCUCUAUACUAGAACGGGUUGUGGAAAAUGAUAAUUUUUGCCAAAAAUGUAUGUAAGCACCAUCUACGUUCCAUAAAUCUUCACUUGCAAUAACUAGCAAUAUACCUGAAACACUCAUCUUCAAUACUAUUAUUAUUAUUAUUUUUUAAUACUACUAUUAUAACUAAGAGAUAUAAUAUAAAAACAAAAGUUAAAUGACUAUAUGACAAUAGACACAGAUAGAUUAGCAGAAUGUGUAACAAAUAAAUUCAUGAUAUCUUUUUAAACUUUGUUUCAGGUUUCAGGUUGUUUCAGGUUAAGGACAAGCAAGAAGGAAUUGAAUGAGGCUUGGUGCAUAAUGUUGGGAAAGAGGAUGUCACUUUGAAGAGUUCUCAAUAUCAUGAACUGUUCCACUUUUCAUUUGACUAGGAUUCUUUAAAAGGACUGUAUUUUAGACUAGGUACAGCAUGGUCCCUGUAUCUAAGUACUGAAUGGAGUUUUCAUUCUAGACCAUGAUAACAUAUUUGCAGGAAUGGAUGUAAUUGUAUCAGUCAAAUAAUCUUAUUUUUCUAACACAGAAACAUUAUAAGGAAACGUGUGAUUUAAAACGGAAAUUCUGAGAUCAUACGGUGGUUUGGUAUAUUCAAAACAGAAGCACAUGUUGUUAAACUCAUUCGAAUUAUCACGUUCUGACCAUAGUUCUUUUGUGUUUUCUUUGUUUUAGUAUUGGUCAGGACGUGAGCUGAGUGGGCAUUCUAU
Salvelinus sp. IW2-2015 is the source of this 1203-nucleotide non-coding RNA. Lineage: Eukaryota; Metazoa; Chordata; Actinopteri; Salmoniformes; Salmonidae. The record is from RefSeq and is a predicted model, not a curated record.